This is a non-coding RNA of Coturnix japonica (Japanese quail), 1398 nucleotides long. Lineage: Eukaryota; Metazoa; Chordata; Aves; Galliformes; Phasianidae. The record is from RefSeq and is a predicted model, not a curated record.
GUAUAAAGUUCAGAGAGGUGUUCUCUCAGGAGCAAACUUGACAGGAAGGAACACAAUUCCUCUUGUUCCUUUGCAGAAGGUGUAGAAUCAUAAAAGCAUAUUGUCAUAGAAUCAUAGAGUCAUAGAAUCACGGAAUCAUAGAGUCCUAGAGUGAUUUGAGUUGGAAGGGACCCUUAAAGAUCAUCUUUGAAUGUUGCACUUUAAACAACCAUCAACAGUAUGAUGUUCAAUAAUGGUCAAAAAAGUCAGUCUCAAAGUGUUCAACUAUCCCAGGCCCUGAAGAGGAUGCAGAAGCCUCUAAUCUGAACCAGCAGUAAGGUACCUGACCACAGGUGUUGUACGUGUCUCUCUGUGAUCACAUAUCUGAGAACAUAAGACCACCUCUCUUGAAAUCUUCCACUGAGAGAAGAGAAAGAAAACUGAGAAAGAAAAGAGGAGGCUCUCCUCUGGGUUUCUAGGAUUGUAGGCUCUCAUGCAGCUGAUGGGCCUGCAAUGAAGUCAGAAAAUCACUUCUGAUUAUGAAGUAUGUGAAUGGUACUCUAAUAAGAGAAAACUUCAUGAUUUAUGUGACAGAGAUGACACGUACAUAAGAAAAUGCUUUCGACAAACCAGAGGCUGUAACCAGAAGAAAGCAAUUUAUAUAUUUGUGCUGGAAGUUAAUGAACCCUGUGCAAAGUGUGAGCAAAGGAGACAUGCAGCCCUAACUGAAGAUGACCCCAAUGGAAAAGAGAAGCAAUGCACAGUCUGCUGUACAGACUCUGUACAGUUGGCUCUGCUUCAAAGGGAGCAAGGAAAAGCAGAGCAGUUAAUGGUGACCUUCAAAGUUGCUCCUGUUCCUCCUCAUGAUAGAUUUUCUUGCCUACCCCAUUGGCCAUGUUAAUUCUCUGAGGGUCUGUCCAUCAAACCAAGGGAAUGUUUUGGUAGAUAAAACAUUUUUUAUAUAUAUUUUUCAAAAGAUAAAGGUCUUUUUUUUUUUUUUUUUAAUUUUUUUUUUUUUUUUUUUUUUUUUUUUCCUCCACCAGCUGCUGUUUUAACCUCACUUCACUCUUUUGAUCUAGUUUACAGCACAGCCCUCAUACUUUUUUGCUAUAGUGGAGUUGGGCUUGAAUGUGCAUCAAACAAAUUUCCUAGUGAGCAAAUGUUAAUGAAACUGUGCCUUGAAGUUCUCUAAGUGGUUAACAUAAGAAUUAAAUAAAUAAUUAAGAAAAAUUCAGAGCAGUUCUCUACCUGCAAGGAAUUUCAGUUCUUUUUCUCUUUUUUAACCCUGAGAAAGAUGCACUAUGCAUAAAAGCUAGCAUUUUCCCAUUUAUACUGCUUGUUGUAUCCUAAACUUUAGAAAAUCUUUAAGCUCAUUUCAAACCUUUGUACUCAUGUUACUCUACUGGCUUUGCAAGAGAU